RNAcentral lists this long non-coding RNA (454 nucleotides) under Phoenix dactylifera (date palm). RNAcentral's name for it is "long non-coding RNA (PDAC_LNC010801)". The record is from RNAcentral. Lineage: Eukaryota; Viridiplantae; Streptophyta; Magnoliopsida; Arecales; Arecaceae.
CUUGAUCCUUGAAUGCGGAAGAUAUGCUGCUGGCUCUGAUUCGGAUGGGAGAACGAUCUGUGAAGCUCGGGAGGAUGAGAUGCAAUCCGUGGGAGGUACUCAACUUCACGCUGCAGAGAGGACUUGGCAGGGGCUUCGGAAGACGUGGGCAGCCGAAUCGCCGGGAUUCCUGUUGAUGUGGAUGCAGGGGAUGAGCUUGGAUGAGGAUGGAUCACAACGGGAUGAAGGUGGGUUCGGAUUCGUGAGAGGAAAUCUGGGAUACGAGCUAAUCCGGAUUCUGUUUCGAAACAGAGGAAGGUGUUUGGAUGCUGUGAAAUCUGGGACUUGGUUCCGAACGAGAGGGAGAAACGGAAUGGUUGAAUGCGAGCGGAUGUGGAGAGAGCUUGGACGCGAAACAAUGGCUGGGAUCAAACGCGGUUGGCUGACUGUGGGACGCUAGGAGAUUCCAUGGGAU